This 907-nucleotide ribosomal RNA is filed under the name Strongyloides ratti. RNAcentral's name for it is "eukaryotic LSU rRNA". It matches the Rfam family "Eukaryotic large subunit ribosomal RNA", at positions 1 to 834 of the family's 3401-position model. The record is from RNAcentral. Lineage: Eukaryota; Metazoa; Nematoda; Chromadorea; Rhabditida; Strongyloididae.
UUUUUGCCUCAAUUAUGUAUGAGUACCCGCUGAACUUAAGCAUAUCGUUAAGCGGAGGAAAAGAAACUAAAUAGGAUUUCCGUAGUAACUGCGAGUGAACUGGAAUUAGCCCAUCACGAAAUCUAUAUUACAUUCGUAAUAUCGAAAUGUCGUGUAUAGGUUUUAUUAUUAUUGAUAUAAUAUUAUUAAAUAAUUGUAUUUAAAUAUACAGCCACAGAAGGUGCCAGCCCUGUUGUUUAAUAAUAUUUAUCAAAUUUAUAAAACUUUAGAGUCGUGUUGCUUGGAAGUGCAGCGCAAAGUUGGUGAUAAACAUCAUCUAAGGCUAAAUAUUCCUAUGAAUCCGAUAGCGAACAAGUACUGUGAAGGAAAAUUGCAAAGUACUCCGGAGAGAGAGUUAAAGAGGACGUGAAACCGAUACGAUGGAAGCAUACAGAGCCAGUUGCACUAUUAUUAAUAUUUAUUAAUAAUUUUAAGCAUGGGUAUAUUGAUAUGAUAAUUAGUUAUUUAUUAAAGAGUGAUAAAAAUAUUUUAUUUUUGUUAACUUUAAUAAAAUAAUUAUAUUAUUAAUUAAUAUUUAUAUUAUCAAUUUAUUAAUAAUAUAAUAUUUUAUUAAUAUUAUAUAAGACACAUGUGUUAAAUAUAAUUUAUUAAUAAUUAUUAUAUUAUUAUAUAUUGAUAUUCCUAUGUAAUCCUGGUAUGCUGUAUGUCCCGUCUUGAAACACGGACCAAGGAGUGUAUUGCUAUGGCAAGUCAUUGAUAUUGUUAAUAUCAAAGGCGUAAUGAAAAUAAUUUUAAUCUCUGAUCUUUUGAUUUUAUUAUCAUUAGCGCAUGAGAAACGUAAAUAUAUGAUAUAAUCAUUUUUUGCAGUUAUAGCCAUAGUAGUGCGACCCGAAAGAUGGUGAACUAU